This 253-nucleotide ribosomal RNA is filed under the name uncultured bacterium. RNAcentral's name for it is "partial 16S ribosomal RNA". It matches the Rfam family "Bacterial small subunit ribosomal RNA", at positions 524 to 776 of the family's 1533-position model. The record is from RNAcentral.
UACAGAGGGGGCAAGCGUUGUUCGGAAUUCCUGGGCGUAAAGGGCGCGUAGGCGGCCCGCUAAGUCGAACGUGAAAUCCCCGGGCUCAACCCGGGAACUGCGUCCGAUACUGGUGGGCUUGAAUCCGGGAGAGGGAUGCGGAAUUCCAGGUGUAGCGGUGAAAUGCGUAGAUAUCUGGAGGAACACCGGUGGCGAAGGCGGCAUCCUGGACCGGUAUUGACGCUGAGGCGCGAAAGCCAGGGGAGCAAACGGG